This 688-nucleotide ribosomal RNA is filed under the name uncultured bacterium. RNAcentral's name for it is "bacterial SSU rRNA". It matches the Rfam family "Bacterial small subunit ribosomal RNA", at positions 213 to 918 of the family's 1533-position model. The record is from RNAcentral.
AUCCGCUUUGAGAUGGCCUCGCGUCCGAUUAGCUAGUUGGUGAGGUAACGGCCCACCAAGGCAACGAUCGGUAGCCGGACUGAGAGGUUGAACGGCCACAUUGGGACUGAGACACGGCCCAGACUCCUACGGGAGGCAGCAGUGGGGAAUAUUGCACAAUGGGGGAAACCCUGAUGCAGCGACGCCGCGUGGAGGAAGAAGGUCUUCGGAUUGUAAACUCCUGUUGUUGAGGAAGAUAAUGACGGUACUCAACAAGGAAGUGACGGCUAACUACGUGCCAGCAGCCGCGGUAAAACGUAGGUCACAAGCGUUGUCCGGAAUUACUGGGUGUAAAGGGAGCGCAGGCGGGAAGACAAGUUGGAAGUGAAAUCUAUGGGCUCAACCCAUAAACUGCUUUCAAAACUGUUUUUCUUGAGUAGUGCAGAGGUAGGCGGAAUUCCCGGUGUAGCGGUGGAAUGCGUAGGUAUCGGGAGGAACACCAGUGGCGAAGGCGGCCUACUGGGCACCAACUGACGCUGAGGCUCGAAAGUGUGGGUAGCAAACAGGAUUAGAUACCCUGGUAGUCCACACCGUAAACGAUGAUUACUAGGUGUUGGAGGAUUGACCCCUUCAGUGCCGCAGUUAACACAAUAAGUAAUCCACCUGGGGAGUACGACCGCAAGGUUGAAACUCAAAGGAAUUGACGGGG